CAGAAGUCUGGAUCAGUGAUGGCUGGAACUCAUCAGUCAAGCGCCGGGCACAGGCGUAUUUUCUGGGCCACAACGGAAACCACCACCGGGGGCUUGGAGCUAAAAGGACUCAAAGCCAUCGCCUCUGGAGAGUGAGCAAAGAGAUGGGCUCGCCUGACGCCGCCCUGCACCCCGACAGGGAGGAAAGGCGGGAGAGUGGUGACAAGGCCGGGCCGGAGACACCCCCACGGAGUCGGAUAAGCCGGAGCCAGCCCCAGUCUGCGCGGCCGGGAGAGCGGCUUUCAGGACACGCUGACGCGCGGGGAAAUACUAACUUCGCGUUUGCGCCCCAGCCAGCCAAGUGAGGCUGCAUCUCCCCGGAGAUGCCGCCGUGGGGGAGGCGACGCAAGCCGCCCGCCCCGCCCCCGCGGCCGCUGCUUCAGCAGUGAUUCUUCCCGCUGCGUGCCGACUUAUUCCCGCAGACCCUGGUGAAGGCAGAGAGGACGCAGGCGAGGAGCGCCUGCUCCCGGUCGGCCGAGAUGGGACGCUUCGCCUUGAGUCUCGCGGAGAGGGGGCCGGGAGGCAGGACAGGGAGGCCCACGUGGGGCAGGGCAGAGAGGCCGCGUCUCGGGCACGUGCCCAGCGCUGCUGAGUCCCUCUCGGGCACACGUCUCCCAGUCCACAAUGCCCCCUGGAGCGGCGGACCUGGAGCACGAGGGCCAGCCAACGGGCAGAGGCCCAAGAGCCCCUUACUCGUGGCUGGCGAGUCCGCCCUGCCCUCACCCACAGCCGUGACGGGACUGGACACACAGCAACAGGCGCGACAGCACCGCGAGUGGCCCCGGGCGCGGGCCGCUGGCCGGGACACCGGACUUCUCACGUAGGUUUCCCCGCGACGCGGUGGGAAGAAUCAGACACAGAGAGGCCCCGGCCGCACAGCCACGGGCCCCGGAGCUGGGCACCCAUCGCUCAACCCGCGUGUGUCGGGGGGACCUCCUCCCUCCCGCCUCCUGCCUCCCUCUGGCCUCAAGCGCUGACCCCCGGUCCGAGGCUUCCUUCUCUGGGAGGUGCCACCUCCAGCCCUGCCUGCUCGGCCGCUGCCCGAGGGCCCCACACCCACAAUCUGCUUGGAACGUGUUCAGGAUCUCAUCGGCGAGCACCACCUCCGCUGGCCUCGGCCCCGGCUCCGACCCGGAUGAGCGGGCAGCAGCCUGCUGGCCCGCGCCCUGGUCAGCGCCGCCACUACUCCCCCGCCCAGGCGGGGGUCAGUCAGUCACGCACACUGCAGCCCCCGCUGCGGCUCGCUGAGGCUCGUGCCGGACGCGGGGCCCGGCCCGUUGGGAGCACAGCUGGAAAGCGCGCCGCGGGCCUGUGCGCCUGCUGCUCUCUGCCGGCACCUACAGGGCACGCCUCACCCCGUGGCCGCCUCUCGGCCCUGACCGCGGCACUGGCGAUGGCCAGCAGCCUGCCGUAUCUUUCGCCCGGGCGGAGCCGAGGAUGACAGGCGUUGAGGCCCGACAGACACGCUUCCAGCUGAGGAGCAACAGCGCAUUCCCGACAGCAAAGCCGGUGCUGCGAGAUGCCGCCGUUUGUGUUUUUAGAAGGUGACGCCGUCCCAGCACGGUGUGACUCGGCAAUACGGCGCACUCUUCAGCCCCGGUGCCCAGCGCUGGGCCUCCGCCCAGCACCGCCUACACGUCCGUAGCCUCAGCUUCCUCUCGCCCAUGUAGAAUUUCCCGGAAAAGUCUAGACUACAGAGCAUUUAUCUUCACAAGAACUUUCUUGCCAUGACAAGAAGUACUAAGAAACAGUCACGGCCCUCCCCGGUGGCGCAAGGGGUUAAGUCUCAAGCUAUGGCAGCCGCUGCAGCACGAGUUCGA
Molecule: long non-coding RNA, 1859 nt
Organism: Condylura cristata (star-nosed mole)
Lineage: Eukaryota; Metazoa; Chordata; Mammalia; Eulipotyphla; Talpidae
Exons: 3
Source: RefSeq, a predicted model, not a curated record